This 253-nucleotide ribosomal RNA is filed under the name uncultured bacterium. RNAcentral describes it as "partial 16S ribosomal RNA". It matches the Rfam family "Bacterial small subunit ribosomal RNA", at positions 524 to 776 of the family's 1533-position model. The record is from RNAcentral.
UACGGCGGGGGCUAGCGUUGUUCGGAAUUACUGGGCGUAAAGCGCACGUAGGCGGCUUUGUAAGUUAGAGGUGAAAGCCCGGAGCUCAACUCCGGAAUUGCCUUUAAGACUGCAUCGCUUGAAUCAUGGAGAGGUGAGUGGAAUUCCGAGUGUAGAGGUGAAAUUCGUAGAUAUUCGGAAGAACACCAGUGGCGAAGGCGACUCACUGGACAUGUAUUGACGCUGAGGUGCGAAAGCGUGGGGAGCAAACAGG